Molecule: ribosomal RNA, 301 nt
Filed under: uncultured bacterium
Lineage: Bacteria
Description: partial 16S ribosomal RNA
Rfam family: Bacterial small subunit ribosomal RNA
Source: RNAcentral
CAGUCGCCGCGGUAAAACGUAGGUGGCAAGCGUUGUCCGGAAUUAUUGGGCGUAAAGCGCGCGCAGGUGGUUUAAUAAGUCUGAUGUGAAAGCCCACGGCUCAACCGUGGAGGGUCAUUGGAAACUGUUAAACUUGAGUGCAGGAGAGAAAAGUGGAAUUCCUAGUGUAGCGGUGAAAUGCGUAGAGAUUAGGAGGAACACCAGUGGCGAAGGCGGCUUUUUGGCCUGUAACUGACACUGAGGCGCGAAAGCGUGGGGAGCAAACAGGAUUAGAUACCCCCGUAGUCCCUGUCUCUUAUAC